This 253-nucleotide ribosomal RNA is filed under the name uncultured bacterium. RNAcentral describes it as "partial 16S ribosomal RNA". It matches the Rfam family "Bacterial small subunit ribosomal RNA", at positions 524 to 776 of the family's 1533-position model. The record is from RNAcentral.
UACGUAGGUGGCAAGCGUUGUCCGGAUUUACUGGGCGUAAAGAGCGCGCAGGCGGUCGUACAAGUCGCGUGUGAAAGCCCCCGGCUCAACUGGGGAGGGUCACGCGAUACUGUUCGACUCGAAGGCAGGAGAGGGAAGCGGAAUUCCCGGUGUAGUGGUGAAAUGCGUAGAUAUCUGGAGGAACACCGGUGGCGAAGGCGGCAUCCUGGACCAACACUGACGCUGAGGAGCGAAAGCCAGGGGAGCAAACGGG